UGGGAAUACCAGGUGCUGAAAGCGUUUUCAUCCACUUUUUC
RNAcentral lists this ribosomal RNA (41 nucleotides) under Hime japonica. Lineage: Eukaryota; Metazoa; Chordata; Actinopteri; Aulopiformes; Aulopidae. The record is from RNAcentral.